RNAcentral lists this small RNA (150 nucleotides) under Arabidopsis thaliana (thale cress). RNAcentral's name for it is "ATSL164320". Lineage: Eukaryota; Viridiplantae; Streptophyta; Magnoliopsida; Brassicales; Brassicaceae. The record is from RNAcentral.
CCUGUAGGAAUACCCUAUCUUGUUUAUAAGAGAUUUGAUACAUGCAAAAUAUUCGAAAACAAUGUCCGAACAUAUAAUUUUUGCCCCGUAAUAUAGAAAAGAUCACAAAAAAGUCCAAAAAAGUACAUUUAGGUCAAAAUUUGAGCAGAA